Molecule: ribosomal RNA, 253 nt
Filed under: uncultured bacterium
Lineage: Bacteria
Description: partial 16S ribosomal RNA
Rfam family: Bacterial small subunit ribosomal RNA
Source: RNAcentral
UACGUAGGGGGCUAGCGUUGCUCGGAAUCACUGGGCGUAAAGCGCACGUAGGCGGAUUCCUAAGUCGGGGGUGAAAUCCUGGAGCUCAACUCCAGAACUGCCUUCGAUACUGGGAAUCUUGAGUCCGGGAGAGGUGAGUGGAACUGCGAGUGUAGAGGUGAAAUUCGUAGAUAUUCGGAAGAACACCAGUGGCGAAGGCGGCUCACUGGACUGGUAUUGACGCUGAGGUGCGAAAGCGUGGGGAGCAAACAGG